RNAcentral lists this transfer RNA (77 nucleotides) under Propionibacteriales bacterium. RNAcentral's name for it is "tRNA-Met". It matches the Rfam family "tRNA". Rfam says of the family: Transfer RNA (tRNA) molecules are approximately 80 nucleotides in length. Their secondary structure includes four short double-helical elements and three loops (D, anti-codon, and T loops). Further hydrogen bonds mediate the characteristic L-shaped molecular structure. tRNAs have two regions of fundamental functional importance: the anti-codon, which is responsible for specific mRNA codon recognition, and the 3' end, to which the tRNAs corresponding amino acid is attached (by aminoacyl-tRNA synthetases). tRNAs cope with the degeneracy of the genetic code in two manners: having more than one tRNA (with a specific anti-codon) for a particular amino acid; and 'wobble' base-pairing, i.e. permitting non-standard base-pairing at the 3rd anti-codon position. RNAcentral also lists the same sequence under 2 other names. The record is from RNAcentral. Lineage: Bacteria; Bacillati; Actinomycetota; Actinomycetes; Propionibacteriales.
GGCGGGGUAGCUCAGUUGGUGAGAGCGCACGACUCAUAAUCGUGAGGUCGCGGGUUCGAAUCCCGCCCCCGCUACCA